AAGCUACACAUCAAAGUGUCUUGUCUCUUGAAAAAGAUCAAAUUUUUAAAAUAAUUAAGCUUUUAUUUAUUUUUACUUUUAUUUAUUUUGUCAAAUAGCAUUCUUCAUUUCCAAAAUGACUUUUUUUCAUUUUCUGUUAAUUUAUUAGCAGUUUAAUGUAGUUUAGCAUCAACAAGAAUGUUUCAGUUUAUGAAACAUGUUAUCUUAAGACGUUUUGCAUGUAAUUCAAAAUCAUUCGUCAUGUAUUUUUAGCUUUAUUUGCUCCUUAUUUGGGUGACUCACACUUUCUGUCAAACUAUUUCAUUGGUUAAAUGCAGUCAGUGUUGGAAAUUUUCACUCAUUUACAUUUUUUAAUUGGUCAAUUUUUUGAUUUUUUUUUUAAUAAUUAUGAUUGUUGUUGCAAAUGAAAAUCUCCAAACUUUUAAUAAUUCUUUUUGGCUCCAACCACUUCCUGUUGACCGGCCGCAGCGGUCCUGUAUGGUAAAGAGCUUUAAAUUGAUAACAUUUUUAACUAAUUUUUGACUCUAUGGCUACAUUUUAAAAAAAAGAAAUUUGAUUCUGAAAGUGUUUUUAUUCUGUUUUUUUAAAAUGAUGAUAACAAUGAACUUCUGCUUAGAGUUUCCCUGCAGGUCAUCUCUGCUGUCCUGAAGUUUCCUCCAGCUGAAGCUGUGAGUUUGGAGAGCUGAAGUAAUAAAUCACUGCUCUUCAUCUCUGUGUUUGUGAGGGAAACACAAGACAAGCAGAGAGCACCCAGAGGACGCAGCGAGGGGCCGUCAGCCCCCACCGGGCCCCCGCUUCCGGACGGAUGGAUGGAGGGAUCGUGUUGACAAGCGGGAAAGACAAAGAGGAGGAGGAGGAGAGGCAGCCACACGUUCGGCGGGGAGGCUGAGAGCUCCGGCCAGAAACUCAUCAAAGAGGUGGAAGCGCCUCCAAGGGCUCAGCAGCAGCAGCAGGACGUGCAUGUGUGCGUGCAUGUGAGGGAAGCUUCCUUCAACCACAGCAGCUCCUGAACGCCACACGGCGGUGAGUGAUGACAGAGCUGCUCCUCUUCUUCUGCUUCAGGUAACUUCACCUUCUCGUCCGCACGCUGCGUGCACGUCACAGCUGCUGUCGGCGCCGCUCAGGAACAUUUUUCUGCAUCAGCUGCGAGGAGCUUCAUGGAAUCCAACGGAACGUUGAAGGUUACAUCCAGAAGUUUCUCUUGAAGCUGCUCCAAUGUGAUAGAGGAAAACACCCUGAUCAUGAAAGAAUCUAAAGUCAUUCUGGUUUUGGAAGUUCUGCUUUCAAGGAGCCAAACUUUAUUAUUUUUUUUUAUUUUAGAGCUAUUUUUUUACAUUUUAAGGACUUUAAAAGUUUAAAUGAGUGAUCUAACUCCUAACGGCUUUGCAGAUGAGUGGGCGUGGCCUUUGAGUGGACGCCCGUUGCCCGAGCAUCUGCCUCCUCAGCUUCUGCCAUCAGGACUGGACCAGGUUCAGUUCAAGGGUUCAGGGCCAAGAACCAAAUCUGGGGGCGAGAUUGGCUGAAGUUCAGAGGGGAGAGGCGUGUCCGUGGUGAUAAGGCCGAGGCGGCUGGCGUUAGCGAGGCAGCGCUGCGUGAUCUCUCCCUGAAGCUUCAUCUGCAUCUCCACCAGGAACUCGUCCUGUCGGUCACACAAAACCACGAGACCAUCAGAACAGGAUUCUCUGAUUCACACAGGCAAAAAUGUCAAAAUAAAGUUCCUUUAACGUCCCACCAGAAGCAGGAGUUAAAGUUCAGUCGGUGCCGUUGAUGAAAAGACAUUUCAAGAUGUUUUUGUGGACGAGGGAGUUCAGGAGAGAUGUAGGAGGGCCUAACUCAGGAGUAAUCCAGUGUAUCCUUCCGCUCGAAUAUGUCAACACAAGAAAUAGGUCCAAGUGUUUAUUUUUUGUGCUCUAUUGAUUAUUAUUAAAAUAAUUGUUUAAAAAAAUGCAAGAAAAA
Molecule: long non-coding RNA, 1956 nt
Organism: Oryzias melastigma (Indian medaka)
Lineage: Eukaryota; Metazoa; Chordata; Actinopteri; Beloniformes; Adrianichthyidae
Exons: 2
Source: RefSeq, a predicted model, not a curated record